ACAUACAUACAUACAUACAUACAUACAUACAUACAUACAUACAUACAUGCAUGCAUACAUACGAUCAGGUUCCGUUUACCAAAUCCACCCAUAAGUACUAGGAUAUAGUAGAAGGUGCCGCGUAGCGAGACUGAACUCAAACCGCGUGGCUGUAAAGCGAGUUUCUUUACCAGACAGCCAUACCUAUGCUCGACAACUUGAACAUAUAGUAUUAACUUUACACAAACACGACAAUUUUUCAAUUGUUAUUAAGGAUUUAAUGUUCACUGAGAUGAAUUCUCGCCGGGGUCAGCAUUGUUGCCUUUCAUUCUUCCAUGGUCGAUAAAACAAGUACUGGGGUCAUUGAUAUCGACUAACCUUCCUUCCUUCAAAAUUGCUGGCCUUGUGCCAAAUUCAGAGACCGUUAUUUAUUUAAUACUAUGUUAUAUAUUUGAGGGUUCAUCCUGUCCCUCUGAAUCUGGUAAAUGGAAAAAAAAAAAAAAAAACUUGAAACUUGUUACUUUAAAAAUGAAAGAAAACGAAAAGAAAAAAGCGGAUUGAAUUUUGAGCAUGAGGCUUUCUUCAUUAUCUGCAUCUCAAAUAAAUGAAUAAAUAAAUAAAUGAAUAAAUAAAUAAACGAAGUAAAAUGAAUUUCGAAUUAUGCCAUAAAAGAAACUAUUGUACAAACUAUAUCACUAUACCAUACUCAAAACGUAAAGGCGGUGAGCUGGCAGAAACGUUAGCGCGCCGGGCGAAAUGCUUAGCGGCAUUUCGUUCGUCUUUACGUUCUGAGUUCAAAUUCCGCCGAGGUCCGACUUUGCCCCCACCCACCAAAAUUUCGGACCUUGUGCCUAGAGUGAAAAAAAGAAAGAAAAAAAAGUGAUCGCGGCAGAUACAUAUUUUGUUGGUAAAGAAAAGCUUGUAAAAUAGCAAGAAACAAUAAAAUAGCUUAUCAUUAGAAAGUAUGAAAAAAUGGCUAAUAUUUCUUUCCUUCAAACUUUGCCUUUGUUUCAUUUAUUAAAAACCCCGCAAAAUCCCUUUCAACACAUGGUUAUGAUGCCCACCAUCCUAUCCCUUCUGCUCAUGAUUAGAGAUGCACAUACUCUGCUCAUUCCUCCCUCAAAUGUAAUGUGUUGAGUUUGCUGAGCAAAAAACGUGAAGGGGUUAACACAAUUUCAAUCAAAUAUGAAAGGUGAAAUUUCUAACUUCUGUCAUUAUUUUUCAGAGAUAUGUUAUGUAUAUUUUUACAAAACGAUAUAAAAUGUAUUUCUUCAUGAU
Long non-coding RNA from Octopus sinensis (East Asian common octopus), 1257 nucleotides. RefSeq lists it as uncharacterized. NCBI's taxonomy places the organism in Eukaryota, Metazoa, Mollusca, Cephalopoda, Octopoda, Octopodidae. The record is from RefSeq and is a predicted model, not a curated record. The transcript has 2 exons.